UGCCCUAGUAACGGCGAGUGAAGCGGCAACAGCUCAAAUUUGAAAUCUGGCCCUCGGGUCCGAAUUGUAAUUUGUAGAGGAUGCUUUUGGCGCGGUGCCUUCCGAGUUCCCUGGAACGGGACGCCUUAGAGGGUGAGAGCCCCGUACGGUUGGACACCAAGCCUCUGUAAAGCUCCUUCGACGAGUCGAGUAGUUUGGGAAUGCUGCUCUAAAUGGGAGGUAAAUUUCUUCUAAAGCUAAAUACCGGCCAGAGACCGAUAGCGCACAAGUAGAGUGAUCGAAAGAUGAAAAGCACUUUGAAAAGAGGGUUAAAUAGCACGUGAAAUUGUUGAAAGGGAAGCGUUUGCGACCAGACUUUUUCCGGGCGGAUCAUCCAGUGUUCUCACUGGUGCACUUCGCCCGGUUUAGGCCAGCAUCGGCUUUCGUAGGGGGAUAAAAACAGUGGGAAAGUAGCUCUUUCGGGAGUGUUAUAGCCCGCUGUAUAAUACCCUUGCGGGGGCCGAGGACCGCGCUUCGGCAAGGAUGCUGGCAUAAUGGUCGUCAACGACCCGUCUUGAAACACGGACCAAGGAGUCGAACAUUUGUGCGAGUGUUUGGGUGUUAAACCCUCACGCGUAAUGAAAGUGAACGGAGGUGAGAGCCCUUACGGGUGCAUCAUCGACCGAUCCUGAUGUCUUCGGAUGGAUUUGAGUAAGAGCAUAACUGUUCGGACCCGAAAGAUGGUGAACUAUGCGUGGAUAGGGUGAAGCCAGAGGAAACUCUGGUGGAGGCUCGCAGCGGUUCUGACGUGCAAAUCGAUCGUCAAAUCUGCGCAUGGGG
This 819-nucleotide ribosomal RNA is filed under the name Neobarrmaelia hyphaenes. RNAcentral describes it as "Pezizomycotina sp. JZG-2022i partial large subunit ribosomal RNA". It matches the Rfam family "Eukaryotic large subunit ribosomal RNA", at positions 76 to 922 of the family's 3401-position model. Lineage: Eukaryota; Fungi; Ascomycota; Sordariomycetes; Xylariales. The record is from RNAcentral.